Molecule: non-coding RNA, 109 nt
Organism: Acanthosepion pharaonis
Lineage: Eukaryota; Metazoa; Mollusca; Cephalopoda; Sepiida; Sepiidae
Source: the annotation of a GenBank genome assembly
UUACGACCAUAUCAAGACGAAACACUGGCACACGUACGAUCACAGAAGUUAAGCAACCUCGAGCGUGUUCAGUAUCUAGAUGGGUGACGUUUUGGAAAUAUCAGGUACG